This 251-nucleotide ribosomal RNA is filed under the name uncultured prokaryote. RNAcentral's name for it is "partial 16S ribosomal RNA". It matches the Rfam family "Bacterial small subunit ribosomal RNA", at positions 524 to 774 of the family's 1533-position model. The record is from RNAcentral.
UACGGAGGAUGCAAGCGUUAUCCGGACUUAUUGGGUUUAAAGGGUGCGCAGGUUGUUUGAUAAGUCAGUGGUGAAAGUCUGUCGCUUAACGGUAGGAUUGCCAUUGAUACUGUUAGACUUGAAUAUGGAUGAGGUAGGCGGAAUGUGUAGUGUAGCGGUGAAAUGCAUAGAUAUUACACAGAACACCGAUUGCGAAGGCAGCUUACUAAUCCAUCAUUGACGCUGAGGCACGAAAGCGUGGGGAUCAAACA